Molecule: ribosomal RNA, 827 nt
Filed under: Pseudomonas aeruginosa
Lineage: Bacteria; Pseudomonadati; Pseudomonadota; Gammaproteobacteria; Pseudomonadales; Pseudomonadaceae
Description: bacterial SSU rRNA
Rfam family: Bacterial small subunit ribosomal RNA (bases 1-559)
Source: RNAcentral
UCAAACUCAAGAGGAAUUGACGGGGGCCCGCACAAGCGGUGGAGCAUGUGGUUUAAUUCGAAGCAACGCGAAGAACCUCUACCCUGGCCUUGCACAUGCUGAGAACUCUCUCCCAAGAGAUGGAUCUGGCUGCCUCCCGGGCAACCUCCAGCACACAGGUGCUGCAUGGCUGUCGUCCAGCCUCCCUGUUCCUGCAGCAUGUCCGGGUCACAGCUCCCCGUUAAACGAAGCCGCCAACCCCCUUGCUCCCUUAAGUUCUACCCAGCCACCCUCCGGGGCUGGGGCCACCUCCUAAAGGCAGCACUGCCCGGGUGCAACAAACCGGCAGGCAAGGCUGGGGCAUCACGCUCAAGCUCAUCAUGGCCCCUUACGGCCCAGGGCUACACACGUGCUACAAUGGUCGGUACAAAGGGUCGCCCAGCCGCGAGGUGGAGCUAAUCCCAUAAAACCGAUCGUAGUCCGGUAUCGCAGUCUGCAACUCGACUGCGUGAAGUCCGAAUCCCUAGUAAUCGUGAAUCAGAAUGUCACGGCUGAAUAACGUCCCCCCGGCCUUGGUACCCCCCCGCCCCGUAAAUCCGGAAUCCCCGGGCCCCGUCCGGAACUGCAAGAAGGGCCUGGCAUGCCAAGCCCUUUCCCUUAUAGUUGAGUUCGUUAUAAGAGCCUGCCGGUAUUCAUGGUAUAGCUGUUCCGGUGUAAAAUGUCAUCGCCCAAAUCCACCAAAACCAGCCGAGCCUAAGUUAACCGGGGCUGCCAUAAGGACCAACUCAAUAUUGCGUCCCCUACCUGCCCGCUCCAGUAGGAAACCGUUGCGCACCGUAAAAUUAAUU